RNAcentral lists this ribosomal RNA (1079 nucleotides) under Vibrio cholerae. Its description in RNAcentral is "partial 23S ribosomal RNA". It matches the Rfam family "Bacterial large subunit ribosomal RNA", at positions 468 to 1555 of the family's 2925-position model. Lineage: Bacteria; Pseudomonadati; Pseudomonadota; Gammaproteobacteria; Vibrionales; Vibrionaceae. The record is from RNAcentral.
AAAUACUCCUGACUGACCGAUAGUGAACCAGUACCGUGAGGGAAAGGCGAAAAGAACCCCUGUGAGGGGAGUGAAAUAGAACCUGAAACCGUGUACGUACAAGCAGUAGGAGCACCUUCGUGGUGUGACUGCGUACCUUUUGUAUAAUGGGUCAGCGACUUAUAUUCAGUGGCAAGGUUAACCGUAUAGGGGAGCCGUAGCGAAAGCGAGUCUUAACUGGGCGCUCAGUCUCUGGAUAUAGACCCGAAACCGGGUGAUCUAGCCAUGGGCAGGUUGAAGGUUGAGUAACAUCAACUGGAGGACCGAACCGACUAAUGUUGAAAAAUUAGCGGAUGACUUGUGGCUAGGGGUGAAAGGCCAAUCAAACUCGGAGAUAGCUGGUUCUCCCCGAAAGCUAUUUAGGUAGCGCCUCGGACGAAUACUACUGGGGGUAGAGCACUGUUAAGGCUAGGGGGUCAUCCCGACUUACCAACCCUUUGCAAACUCCGAAUACCAGUAAGUACUAUCCGGGAGACACACGGCGGGUGCUAACGUCCGUCGUGGAGAGGGAAACAACCCAGACCGCCAGCUAAGGUCCCAAAGUAUUGCUAAGUGGGAAACGAUGUGGGAAGGCUCAGACAGCUAGGAUGUUGGCUUAGAAGCAGCCAUCAUUUAAAGAAAGCGUAAUAGCUCACUAGUCGAGUCGGCCUGCGCGGAAGAUGUAACGGGGCUAAGCAAUACACCGAAGCUGCGGCAAUGUCUUUUAGACAUUGGGUAGGGGAGCGUUCUGUAAGCCGUUGAAGGUGAAUCGUAAGGUUUGCUGGAGGUAUCAGAAGUGCGAAUGCUGACAUGAGUAACGACAAAGGGGGUGAAAAACCUCCUCGCCGGAAGACCAAGGGUUCCUGUCCAACGUUAAUCGGGGCAGGGUGAGUCGACCCCUAAGGUGAGGCCGAAAGGCGUAAUCGAUGGGAAACGGGUUAAUAUUCCCGUACUUCUGACUAUUGCGAUGGGGGGACGGAGAAGGCUAGGUGGGCCAGGCGACGGUUGUCCUGGUUCAAGUGCGUAGGCUUGAGAGUUAGGUAAAUCCGGCUCUCUCUAAG